UACUGUGGCCCUGCUGGACUGAACAUACUUAAUCUCCUCUGACUUUGGCAGCAAAACAAUCCUGGGCCUGGGUAUGACUUGGAUAGGAAACAGCUUUGGAAUCUCAGGUGCCAUAGAAA
RNAcentral lists this ribosomal RNA (119 nucleotides) under Alligator mississippiensis (American alligator). The record is from RNAcentral. Lineage: Eukaryota; Metazoa; Chordata; Crocodylia; Alligatoridae.